Molecule: ribosomal RNA, 341 nt
Filed under: uncultured soil bacterium
Lineage: Bacteria
Description: bacterial SSU rRNA
Rfam family: Bacterial small subunit ribosomal RNA
Source: RNAcentral
AGAUUGAACGCUGGCGGCAUGCCUUACACAUGCAAGUCGAACGGCAGCACGGGAGCAAUCCUGGUGGCGAGUGGCGAACGGGUGAGUAAUAUAUCGGAACGUGCCCAGUCGUGGGGGAUAACGCAGCGAAAGCUGUGCUAAUACCGCAUACGAUCUAUGGAUGAAAGCGGGGGAUCGCAAGACCUCGCGCGAUUGGAGCGGCCGAUAUCAGAUUAGGUAGUUGGUAGGGGUAAAGGCUCACCAAGCCGACGAUCUGUAGCGUGGUCUGAGAGGACGACCAGCCACGCUGGAACUGAGACACGGUCCAGACCUCCGUACGGGAGGCAGCGAGGUAGGGGUAA